This 425-nucleotide ribosomal RNA is filed under the name uncultured bacterium. Its description in RNAcentral is "partial 16S ribosomal RNA". It matches the Rfam family "Bacterial small subunit ribosomal RNA", at positions 354 to 796 of the family's 1533-position model. The record is from RNAcentral.
GUGGGGAAUCUUGCGCAAUGGGCGAAAGCCUGACGCAGCCAUGCCGCGUGAAUGAUGAAGGUCUUAGGAUUGUAAAAUUCUUUCACCGGGGACGAUAAUGACGGUACCCGGAGAAGAAGCUCCGGCUAACUUCGUGCCAGCAGCCGCGGUAAUACGAAGGGGGCUAGCGUUGCUCGGAAUUACUGGGCGUAAAGGGCGCGUAGGCGGACAGCUUAGUCAGAGGUGAAAGCCCAGGGCUCAACCUUGGAAUUGCCUUUGAUACUGGCUGUCUUGAGUGUGGGAGAGGUGAGUGGAACUCCGAGUGUAGAGGUGAAAUUCGUAGAUAGUCGGAAGAACACCAGUGGCGAAGGCGACUCACUGGCCCAAUACUGACGCUGAGGCGCGAAAGCGUGGGGAGCAAACAGGAUUAGAAACCCGAGUAGUCC